CGCGUGGAUGACGGUACCGUAAGAAGAAGCACCGGCUAACUACGUGCCAGCAGCCGCGGUAAUACGUAGGGUGCGAGCGUUAAUCGGAAUUACUGGGCGUAAAGCGUGCGCAGGUGGCGUCGCAAGUCAGGCGUGAAAUCCCCGAGCUUAACUUGGGAAUUGCGCUUGAAACUACGAUGCUGGAGUGCGGCAGAGGGAGGUGGAAUUCCACGUGUAGCGGUGAAAUGCGUAGAGAUGUGGAGGAACACCGAUGGCGAAGGCAGCCUCCUGGGUCGACACUGACGCUCAUGCACGAAAGCGUGGGGAGCAAACAGGAUUAGAUACCCUGGUAGUCCACGCCCUAAACGAUGUCUACUAGUUGUUGGGGGAGUUAAAUCCCUUAGUAACGCAGCUAACGCGCGAAGUAGACCGCCUGGGGAGUACGGUCGCAAGAUUAAAACUCAAAGGAAUUGAACGGGGGGCCCGCACAAGCGGUGGAUGAUGUGGUUUAAUCGACGCAACG
This 502-nucleotide ribosomal RNA is filed under the name uncultured bacterium. Its description in RNAcentral is "bacterial SSU rRNA". It matches the Rfam family "Bacterial small subunit ribosomal RNA", at positions 462 to 961 of the family's 1533-position model. The record is from RNAcentral.